This 67-nucleotide transfer RNA is filed under the name Marmota monax (woodchuck). RNAcentral's name for it is "tRNA.Ala". It matches the Rfam family "tRNA", at positions 6 to 65 of the family's 71-position model. Rfam says of the family: Transfer RNA (tRNA) molecules are approximately 80 nucleotides in length. Their secondary structure includes four short double-helical elements and three loops (D, anti-codon, and T loops). Lineage: Eukaryota; Metazoa; Chordata; Mammalia; Rodentia; Sciuridae. The record is from RNAcentral.
GGCUGUAGCUCAUUGGUAGAGCACCUGCCUCGCACGUGUGAAGCACUGGGUUCGAUCCUCAGCAUCA